CGAGUGCGUUGAACAGCUGCGGGCAAAGUCCGAAAGGCUUUGUGCGAGGAAAGUCCGGGCUUCACAGAGCAAAAAUAACGGCUAACGGCCGCCGGAGGCGACUCCAGGGAUAGUGCAACAGAAAAUUACCGCCGAUUUAUCGGUAAGGAUGGAAAGGUGAGGUAAGAGCUCACCGGAGGCAGGGAGACCUGUCUGCCGUGUAAACCCUAUUUGAAGCAACACCGUGGUAGGACAUAUACGCUUGCUCGGCGUGUCCUUAGGAGGUGGCAUCGAGCAGUUACGGCAACGGGCUGCCAAGAUAGAUGGCUGUUCACGACAGAACCCGGCUUACAGACGCAGUCGCACA
RNAcentral lists this RNase P RNA (346 nucleotides) under Ruminococcus sp. Its description in RNAcentral is "RNase P RNA component class A". It matches the Rfam family "Bacterial RNase P class A". Rfam says of the family: Ribonuclease P (RNase P) is a ubiquitous endoribonuclease, found in archaea, bacteria and eukarya as well as chloroplasts and mitochondria. Its best characterised activity is the generation of mature 5'-ends of tRNAs by cleaving the 5'-leader elements of precursor-tRNAs. Cellular RNase Ps are ribonucleoproteins. The record is from RNAcentral. Lineage: Bacteria; Bacillati; Bacillota; Clostridia; Eubacteriales; Oscillospiraceae.